UGACCGCUGGCGGUAGGCCUAACACAUGCAAGUCGAACGGCAGCACAGUAAGAGCUUGCUCUUACGGGUGGCGAGUGGCGGACGGGUGAGGAAUACAUCGGAAUCUACUUUUUCGUGGGGGAUAACGUAGGGAAACUUACGCUAAUACCGCAUACGACCUACGGGUGAAAGCCGGGGAUCUUCGGACCUUGCGCGAUUGAAUGAGCCGAUGUCGGAUUAGCUAGUUGGCGGGGUAAAGGCCCACCAAGGCGACGAUCCGUAGCUGGUCUGAGAGGAUGAUCAGCCACACUGGAACUGAGACACGGUCCAGACUCCUACGGGAGGCAGCAGUGGGGAAUAUUGGACAAUGGGCGCAAGCCUGAUCCAGCCAUACCGCGUGGGUGAAGAAGGCCUUCGGGUUGUAAAGCCCUUUUGUUGGGAAAGAAAAGCAGCAGGUUAAUACCCCGCUGUUCUGACGGUACCCAAAGAAUAAGCACCGGCUAACUUCGUG
RNAcentral lists this ribosomal RNA (490 nucleotides) under uncultured bacterium. RNAcentral's name for it is "partial 16S ribosomal RNA". It matches the Rfam family "Bacterial small subunit ribosomal RNA", at positions 30 to 507 of the family's 1533-position model. The record is from RNAcentral.